RNAcentral lists this ribosomal RNA (483 nucleotides) under uncultured soil bacterium. RNAcentral's name for it is "bacterial SSU rRNA". It matches the Rfam family "Bacterial small subunit ribosomal RNA", at positions 9 to 524 of the family's 1533-position model. The record is from RNAcentral.
GAGUUUGAUCCUGGCUCAGAAUCAACGCUGGCGGCGUGCCUAACACAUGCAAGUCGAACGAGAAAGGGUAGCAAUACCUGAGUAAAGUGGCGCACGGGUGAGUAACACGUGACUAACCUACCCUGGAGUGGGGGAUAACUGAGGGAAACCUUAGCUAAUACCGCAUAACACCUACGGGUCAAAGGAGCAAUUCGCUUCAGGAGGGGGUCGCGGCCGAUUAGUUAGUUGGCGGGGUAAUGGCCCACCAAGACAGUGAUCGGUAUCCGGCCUGAGAGGGCGCACGGACACACUGGAACUGAAACACGGUCCAGACUCCUACGGGAGGCAGCAGUGGGGAAUUUUGCGCAAUGGGGGAAACCCUGACGCAGCAACGCCGCGUGGAGGAUGAAGUACUUCGGUACGUAAACUCCUUUCGAUCGGGACGAUUAUGACGGUACCGGAAGAAGAAGCCCCGGCUAACUUCGUGCCAGCAGCCGCGGUAAU